Long non-coding RNA from Hemicordylus capensis (graceful crag lizard), 740 nucleotides. RefSeq lists it as uncharacterized. The record is from RefSeq and is a predicted model, not a curated record. NCBI's taxonomy places the organism in Eukaryota, Metazoa, Chordata, Lepidosauria, Squamata, Cordylidae. The transcript has 4 exons.
UAGUUCCUGCUUGGCAGUGCCACUGCUACUCUCUCUUCCUGGUAUGCUGAGGCACACCAUAGCAACAGGAAGAGGGGACGAGAGGGAAGGGGGAAAGCCCUUCUCAUCUCAGCAGGAACAACUUGGUUGCUUCCCCACCAUCACUGAGAAAGGGCCAGCACAAGCUCUGCCAUGAGGAGCUGUAAUAAAACAUCUGUCUCAAUCGUCUCUUUAAAGAUCAUCAAAGUGUUGUAAAAACAAAGUUACACAAGCAAUUUCAAUGAGCAGGUGUCAAAAUGCCUUUGGGUUCACCUUGCCAGGGUUCCCCUCUUCUUUCCUCAACAUCCCUUACAUUCCAGCAGCUACACACGUGAGCUUCCUGAUGCAAUGAUACCUGGAAACCUGCAGUUUUGCAAGAGGUUCUGGGCUUUUUGAUCCUGGAGAGAGAACAUUUGGUACAAGAAGGAACUUCCUGUUGGGCUGUAAACAAUCUUUCUUCCCUCUUUCACAACAAUGGGAUGUUUGGACAGCUGAGGUGGCAGAGGCAGCAGUUUGGUUCCCAGGAAGAAGAAGCUGCAAAGCAAAACUGCUUCUCUGGGUUGUGUUCCUUGGAACUGCAUAACUUGGGCUGUGCUGGAAAUGGUCAAAUGUUUACCCAGACAAAAAUAAAUGAAGAUCUUGACACUGGCAUGAGUUAUGUCUGGAAAGUUGCAGUUGCCAGACCAUUUUCAAAGGCAGCCCCAUGAACAAUGCAUUGCAGC